This 4239-nucleotide long non-coding RNA is filed under the name Eutrema salsugineum. RNAcentral describes it as "long non-coding RNA (ESAL_LNC000883)". Lineage: Eukaryota; Viridiplantae; Streptophyta; Magnoliopsida; Brassicales; Brassicaceae. The record is from RNAcentral.
GCAUGCACACGUAAGAAUGGAGCUGGAAACGACUAAGUGUUGAACAUGCACCUCGGUGUAGCGACCUCGGCGUGCAUGCCGGACCCUGUUCGCUCAAAUCCCUCGACUACCAAGCGCCUCGGCAUUUCAUGCCGAGGUCCAUUGUCACAAACCCAGAAUCAAGAACAAAGCUGCCCAAGAAUACACACGUGAAGAUGGAUCAAAGACUAAGGUUCAUGCAUGUUCUUGACGUGUUCUUCACGAGAUCUUCAUUUGGAUCUAGACUCACGUGCACUCCUCGACAUGAAGACCUCGGCUUCACUCUCCGACACACCGUGGCAUCACCCAUCAACCCAAGAUCGCGGUUCAGUACCCGGUUUGUUCCAGGCUGACCCGCGACACUUUACCUUUGCUAUAUAUACAUUUUGAGACUAAAAACCUAAUCAUCUUAUCUCUUAUCUGUUUUUAGCUUUAAGAACUUGCCUCUUUGGUGACACUCGAUCAUUCUAAUCCGAUAUCUCGUUUUUGCAUGAAAAAUCUUGUUCUUUCUUUAUUUCCUUUAUCAUCUAACAUUAAACUCCUCAUCAUGACCAGCUACACGUCUUGCAAAGGACUUAGUGAGCUCGUUAUGAUUAGUGAGUAGUCGUUUAAGCGGCUUUAGAUGAGUAGAUUAGGGUGCUUUCAAGGUAGAUUAGUGGGUUUAGGUGUCUAGUUUUGCAUGUUUCAUUCUUUAACCGACGAGAUCUCUAGGCUGGAUCCAAGCACAUCACUUGAGGUUCAGAUCCGAGACAUAUCUCGCAUCAAAAGUGUUUGUAGAAAUGUCUGAACCACUCAGUUAAGGGUUUAAGAGCCUUUCAUCGCGAGAGUGAUAGUUCGUUCUCUUAAAUGACAUUUUUGAACUGAUUCUUAUUGCUGAUUGAUUCGAUGCUUCUCAAAAGACAUUUUUGGUAUGAAGGAGGAUCAGUUUAGAUGCUUAAUACUUUCAUGAGAAGAUUAACAUGCCUUGAGUUCAAAGUUAAAUGAAACCGCUUGAUGUUUUGAUUCAUUAACCAACUAGUUGAACUUGGAAGCACCCGAGUCAAGUAUCUCGUCUAAAGUCCCUUGCUUUAUUACAUAUUAUCAUCAUCUGAAUCGUUUAGUUAUUAUUUGCAUCCUGUCUCUGUUUAGAUCUAAUCAUUUGCUUUACCUUUCAUGCUUAAUCGUUUGUUACUUAGCUUAGUUCAAAACCUUCACCUUUUGUCUUGACUUAAAUGAACAAACAUCAUAGUCUAGUGUCUCGUUGACUUGUUUGGAUUGAUACCUCUUUGUGCUACUUCGACAAAGGGGAUUGAUAGUCCUGAGACCUAAAAAGUCUUAUCUAUCAAUUGGCGCUGUUGCCGGGGAUAGCUAGGGGAAUGAAAGAAAAAGAAUCGAGUCUUGAAUUUGAAAAGAAGAGCUCUGUUGUUCUAAAAAGAAAAGUAUAGUCUCUGAAAUGAAAAGAAGCCAAAAAGGCUCAAGUGUUCUAAAAAGAAAAGAAAAGAGGCUAAUCGCCGUAAAAGAAAAGAGCUGUUUGAAUAAGUAAACACCAAAGGCUUGAAAAUCAAAACAAAAGUGAGUCCCCUAGUGAAAAAGAAAGCGAUUGAGAGAGUGAAGAUCUUGAGAAGGUGAGCAAGUGAGAAAAGCUUUGAGUGGAGUGUGGGGUGUGAUGAGUCUUGCCCUUGUAUGCAUCGGUUGCUUUUUACCUUUAGCAUUCUGCCAAAGUUUGGUCGUUCAUUGAGUGAUCCCAUUGUUGCAUUACACCCGCUUGAAUAUUGAUGAGAUAAUUUUUAUCUCAUGACCUUACCCUAGCCAAGCCAGCCUAUUUGAACAUUGCAUCAUUUGAUUCACCGGUUACGAGCUUAAUGAAUGUGAAAGAGUUGAGUGUGAUAAUGGCUUAUGGAGAUUCUAUGCUUUAAUUGUGAAAUAUCUGAGUAUGGCUUUGCAUUGCAUAUUUGAGCAUGAAUCCGAGUUCUCCUUGUGAUCACUUCUUUCUAAAAAGGAAAUAUGAGCUCCAUCUGCAUUACAACCUCUUUCUCUCAUUUGAUCUCUUCGCUUGAGGACAAGCAAAGGACAAGUGUGGGGGAGUUGAUAUGUCUAUAUUUUACAUCAUUUAGAGUGCAUUUUAGAGUCCUCAUCAUGUGUUUUCCCAUGUAAAUUGAGUCUUUAGGCAUGAAAAUAGGAUUUAGGGCUUGCAUUAGGUCCCAAAGAGUUUUGCAUGUUUUGAGGUCUUUAUCAGGUGUUUUGGGAGUCAUUUGGAGCUUAAGAAGAGGAGCAGAGAAGAAGACGGUGAAGAAAACGGUCAAAACCGGUGAAAACCGCUUGGAGGAAUUUCUCGGCCAAAUCGCGUACCGGACGGACAGAAACCUCGGUCAAAAUCCUUACCGAUCGCUCAUUACCGGCCAAAAUCCUUACCGAUCGCUCAUUACCGGCCAAAAUCCUUACCGAUCGUCCAACCUCGACCAAAAAGCUUACCGAUCGUUCAGCACCGACCAAAGUCCGUACCGAUCGACCAAAGUCAGCCUGGGUCGAAGAUCAGGCGUUAAUACCGCGAGUUGAGUUUUGGCCGAGGCAAAAGGAUUUUUACGACCAAAAAGCUUACCGCGGUACACAGCCCUCGGCCAUUUUCCGUACCGCGGGAAGCUUUUCUCGACCAAAAUCUGUCCUUGUCUGCGCAAUUCAAAGAUAUGAAAUCCGGGAAACCUUCCGGUCCGAAUCAGUUGGCGGGGUCUUCAGCAAAGUUGGAGAUAAUCAAACAAAGAUCCCAGAACAGUUGGAAUCAUCCAAUUCGGACCAGUAGGGAGUAAGAUACAGCUUCCGGAAGAUGCACCAACAUUACGCGCAUCCGAGAACUGAACGGCGAAGUACAAAGGUCACGGCGGACGGAGCCUUUCCGGACCAAAUCAGCUUGCCCGGUCUUCAUCAAAGUUUGAGAUCUGUGAAAGACCUUUUCAGAACAGUAGGGGUCGCUCAAUUCGGACGAGUAGUUUGAAAGAGAAAGUCUCCGGAGUUCACAUCGGUCCAAACAGUUUAUUUUCUGGUGAUUUCGAUGCGGUUCAAAGAUGUGAAAUCCAGGAAGACUUCCACUACCCAAGCUCCGACGGUUUCUUCACCAAAGUUCGAGUUUAUUGAGUCACCUUGACUAGGGAACUGGUCUCAGAGCAUUUGGAGUCGUGGGUCGAAAGUUACUGCUUCCGGAAAGCGACAUGGUCGAUACGGGCCCAAAUAUGUUGCGAUACGCGCUAAGUGUUUCUUCAGGGCUCGGCAUCAUUACCUCGACAUCGGCCAAGUCAAGGCUCAUAUUUUGGAAGUAUCCUGAGCUAGGCCUCGUACUGAUACCUCGGCACGUUGGGAUCAAGGCAUGCACACGUAAGAAUGGAGCUGGAAACGACUAAGUGUUGAACAUGCACCUCGGUGUAGCGACCUCGGCGUGCAUGCCGGACCCUGUUCGCUCAAAUCCCUCGACUACCAAGCGCCUCGGCAUUUCAUGCCGAGGUCCAUUGUCACAAACCCAGAAUCAAGAACAAAGCUGCCCAAGAAUACACACGUGAAGAUGGAUCAAAGACUAGGGUUCAUGCAUGUUCUUGACGUGUUCUUCACGAGAUCUUCAUUUGGAUCUAGACUCACGUGCACUCCUCGACAUGAAGACCUCGGCUUCACUCUCCGACACACCGUGGCAUCACCCAUCAACCCAAGAUCGCGGUUCAGUACCCGGUUUGUUCCGGGCUGACCCGCGACACUUUACCUUUGCUAUAUAUACAUUUUGAGACUAAAAACCUAAUCAUCUUAUCUCUUAUCUGUUUUUAGCUUUAAGAACUUGCCUCUUUGGUGACACUCGAUCAUUCUAAUCCGAUAUCUCGUUUUUGCAUGAAAAAUCUUGUUCUUUCUUUAUUUCCUUUAUCAUCUAACAUUAAACUCCUCAUCAUGACCAGCUACACGUCUUGCAAAGGACUUAGUGAGCUCGUUAUGAUUAGUGAGUAGUCGUUUAAGCGGCUUUAGAUGAGUAGAUUAGGGUGCUUUCAAGGUAGAUUAGUGGGUUUAGGUGUCUAGUUUUGCAUGUUUCAUUCUUUAACCGACGAGAUUCUAGGCUGGAUCCAAGCACAUCACUUGAGGUUCAGAUCCGAGACAUAUCUCGCAUCAAAAGUGUUUGUAGAAAUGUCUGAACCACUCAGUUAAGGGUUUAAGAGCCUUUCAUCGCGAGAGUGAUAGUUCGUUCUCUUAAAUGACAUUUUUGAACUGAUUCUU